This is a long non-coding RNA of Pseudomyrmex gracilis, 198 nucleotides long. RefSeq lists it as uncharacterized. The record is from RefSeq and is a predicted model, not a curated record. The transcript is spliced from 3 exons. NCBI's taxonomy places the organism in Eukaryota, Metazoa, Arthropoda, Insecta, Hymenoptera, Formicidae.
AUACAUAAAUAACUACAACGAUAUGAAUACAAUGUGUAUGACUUGGAGCUGGUAUCUGGCGAGUGAUAUGCAAUUCUACAUAAUUGGCGUAGCUUUAUUGAUUUUGUCGACCGUAUAUAUGUAUUGGACUAUUAUUAUACUGGGUGCACUUUUAAUUGGAUCAAUCUUACUUUCCGGUUACAUUCCAUAUAUUUAUGA